UGAUGCUCAACGUGAAAUGGGGCUUCAC
Molecule: non-coding RNA, 28 nt
Filed under: Macaca fascicularis (crab-eating macaque)
Lineage: Eukaryota; Metazoa; Chordata; Mammalia; Primates; Cercopithecidae
Also listed under: 1 other name
Source: RNAcentral